Molecule: long non-coding RNA, 829 nt
Filed under: Linum usitatissimum (flax)
Lineage: Eukaryota; Viridiplantae; Streptophyta; Magnoliopsida; Malpighiales; Linaceae
Description: long non-coding RNA (LUSI_LNC002094)
Source: RNAcentral
AUGGCCGACUGUCCUGGAAUCGUUGAGGUCGAUCCUGUUGCCGUCAGCGCUCCGCAGUUCGGCUUUGGAAGGGGUGCUGGUCGUGGGAGGUACUGAAUUGUUAAAAUGUUAGGGGUUUGAGAAAUGACUAUCUUGUUUGGCUCUUAGCUUUGUUAAUCGAAGAGUGCGAAUUUGAUGCUCCUGGUAAUUUUUGGUUAAUCGUUUUGGAUACUGGAAUGCUUUUACAGUUUGUUGUUCUGUUGGUAAUGCUUGAAUUGAAUUCUGCAAACUGUUUGCUCUUUUUCCUGGUUGAUAUAAGAUGAGUCCUACUUUAGAGUCGAAAUGACACUGGUCUAACUCAAUUAUGAUUCAUUAUUUGAGAAUGGAAUAUCAAAUUCUGAGCAUUCGUGGCUUUUGAAUGCUUUGAGUAGCAAUCAAACGCAAAUGCAGGUCAUCCUAACCCAUUUGUACAUGAAAUGUUAUGCUCUAACUCGAACUCAAACUCAAACGUAGCGAACAAUUUGGUUGCUAUACAUAGCUCAGUGCAAAAAGGUUGCACUUUCAAAAAGGCAGUGGCCGAUAGGGUUGCUAUACAUAACUCAGUGCAAAAGGUUGCAGCCUUCGAAAUGCUGCUCCCCUUUUCUUGGUUCAGUUGCUUGAAUUUGCAAUACCGACCAUGUUUAGCAUGUGUAGAUCCUCUUUAAACCUCUCAAGAACGGUGCCCCUAGGUCCAUCAGUUCUUUUCCUGCUCUCCUCGACCCUGAACAACUCCCCAGCAUUCUAUGACUUCUGGGAUUAUCCUGCUGGUCUUCAAAAGGCAAGGGCUGCCGAAUGUGGUGCAGUUGAAGGU